Molecule: ribosomal RNA, 433 nt
Filed under: uncultured bacterium
Lineage: Bacteria
Description: partial 16S ribosomal RNA
Rfam family: Bacterial small subunit ribosomal RNA
Source: RNAcentral
AACGAACGCUGGCGGCAUGCCUAACACAUGCAAGUCGAACGAAGGCUUCGGCCUUAGUGGCGCACGGGUGCGUAACGCGUGGGAAUCUGCCCUUUGGUUCGGAAUAACAGCUGGAAACGGCUGCUAAUACCGGAUGAUGACGAAAGUCCAAAGAUUUAUCGCCAGAGGAUGAGCCCGCGUUGGAUUAGGUAGUUGGUGGGGUAAAGGCCUACCAAGCCGACGAUCCAUAGCUGGUCUGGGAGGAUGAUCAGCCACACUGGGACUGAGACACGGCCCAGACUCCUACGGGAGGCAGCAGUGGGGAAUAUUGGACAAUGGGCGCAAGCCUGAUCCAGCAAUGCCGCGUGAGUGAUGAAGGCCCUAGGGUUGUAAAGCUCUUUUACCCGGGAAGAUAAUGACUGUACCGGGAGAAUAAGCCCCGGCUAACUCCGUG